GUUGACACUGUGGACCGGACGAAAAUCUUCCAUAUACUUUUGGCUCAAGACUGACUUCCAAAGAACCAAAUAAACAUGGUAGACAAGAAGGCCAGUAAGAUCUAGUGCUUCAGAAGUGGCAUGAACACCUUGCUAUCUCCAUGAACUAGAAUUGCCACCUUUUUCUCACAGAAUCUUAUUCAUGAAAGACAAAUUGCAUUUUUUGCUCCUAUUCCAUAGCCAAAUAUCCUCUUUCCUGCUCCCUUCCCGCUCUCUUCUUCCCGCAAGCUUGUUAAUUCUCCAUUUCAAUGGGAGCUUCCAAGAGAAAUGGAAGGAAUCAUUCAGCAAGGAGAAAACAUUGACCAUCUAGAGUCUUCGAUAUUGAUUUAGAAUCCACUUUAAUAUGGUCUAAAUUAUGGCUAAACAAUAAACAAGGAAAAGAUGGUGGAGAGAACAAGAAGAGUGGCUAAUCAAGUAAAGCCCAUGGAAACAAACCAGAACCUAAGUGCACGCUGAGCUCAGGGCCUGAGGGACAGAUAAAACACUUCAAACUAGUUUUUGGCCUCCAGGAGUUUAGAGUCUGUUGGGGAGAAAAGGCAUGCUAACAGUUUAUGAGACUCAAUGAGAUGAUUUAUGGCUGUCACCAGAGCAUCACUUCCCUUUCAUCUCCAGAAUAUGGAGCACUUUUUUUUUCUGAUUCCCAAGGGGACCUGGAAACUCAUAUGUAGUCUCUCUUCAUGUCUAGGAAAGCAUGCUGGUAACAGAGAGACACCUCGUCUGGGUGAAGGGAACCACAGUUGUGCUCAUCUCCUGUGGAUGCUACCUCUAACAGCAUGACCUAUUGCAGUGGACUCUUCUCCUGUUCAAUUCACAGCCAUCUCCAGCACCAGAAAUGAGUCCUCCAGUGCUUGGCCAUGAUGGGUUCAGAUUCUUGAUCUGAGUCCUGACCUCUUUUCUGUCCCUGCUCCUCCAAAAGGAAAUCUCAUAGAUCUUUAGAGCACACAAUUUAUUACAUCCCUGUUCCCAGAAAGGGAUGAUGAUGAUUACUAUUUUGAGAACUAUUUUAAGGUGACUUUCUCUCACAUCUUUUGUUAAAAGGGGAAGAAAAAACAACUAAAGAAAGCAAACUAAAACACAGGGAUGUCAAUUAUCAAGACAGUGCUCCUUCUAACGCACCACAGCUGCUCCUGAAUCAAAAGAGGACGCACUUCCAUUGGGUUGGAAUGUUCCGCAUGCAGGUGUAUGAGGAAGAGUUAUUUGAACUGGUUCUUGACUGAAUUAUAGGGUUUGGCUAGGUGGUGGAAGAAGACAAGUUUAUACCUGGACUGGAGGGAUUAGCAUGACUGAAGCCACAGGUUGGAAAAUGCAAGGUGUAUUUGGACGACUGUGUGUAGACUGUUUUGGCUGGAGAAGAGGGCUCAUUCCUGUUACAAAAUGGCACCCAGCCAAAGAGAGGAGAACAAUGAAGAUUGCUUCUGCCAUUGUUGCGAUUUGGGAUUUUCAGGCACCUCUGUUAAAUGAGGACAAACAGUGCUGACCUUCUCUUGCAGGCAGGCUGGGAUUCUGAAUCAUCAGUGACUGGGAAGUGGUGUGCUCCAUUAUCUGAGGCAUGAUAUUAUAUCCACCAGCUAUUUCGUUCAUGCAGUUGGAUUUCUGCUCCAUUGAAAUGAUUCUCUCAGUGUGAGCUCAAUAACAAGGGGCAUGAUGGUAGUUUUUCUGUGUUGCCAGAAACUAGGUCUGAAUUUCUUCCAGCGCCUCCUGCUCUAAAGCACCUCUUAUGAUUAAUUAACCUUUUGUGGAGUAACUAGGACAUCUGUGUGGGAUGAGAUGUACUUUGGUCAGACUUCAGUUUUUAGUUGUUCAGCAAGAGGAUAAUUAAUUAUAAGAGCUGAAUCUGAACAGAAGAUUGUUGGAGGAAGUCCAAAUGAAGCAAAACAUCUAAUUAUCAAUGAACAGGAAGUUUUUUUUUAGUUGUCGUUAUUGUGGGAGUGAAUAAAAUACUUAAUGCAAUAUAAAUAAGAG
RNAcentral lists this long non-coding RNA (2001 nucleotides) under Homo sapiens (human). RNAcentral's name for it is "HSALNT0046394". The record is from RNAcentral. Lineage: Eukaryota; Metazoa; Chordata; Mammalia; Primates; Hominidae.